This 425-nucleotide ribosomal RNA is filed under the name uncultured bacterium. RNAcentral's name for it is "partial 16S ribosomal RNA". It matches the Rfam family "Bacterial small subunit ribosomal RNA", at positions 354 to 796 of the family's 1533-position model. The record is from RNAcentral.
GUGGGGAAUAUUGGACAAUGGGCGCAAGCCUGAUCCAGCCAUGCCGCGUGAGUGAUGAAGGCCCUAGGGUUGUAAAGCUCUUUCGCCAGGGACGAUAAUGACGGUACCUGGAUAAGAAGCCCCGGCUAACUUCGUGCCAGCAGCCGCGGUAAUACGAAGGGGGCUAGCGUUGUUCGGAAUCACUGGGCGUAAAGCGCACGUAGGCGGAUCUGUAAGUCAGGGGUGAAAUCCCGAGGCUCAACCUCGGGACUGCCUUUGAUACUGGGGAUCUCGAGUCCGGGAGAGGUGAGUGGAACUGCGAGUGUAGAGGGGAAAUUCGUAGAUAUUCGCAAGAACACCAGUGGCGAAGGCGGCUCACUGGCCCGGUACUGACGCUGAGGUGCGAAAGCGUGGGGAGCAAACAGGAUUAGAAACCCGGGUAGUCC